Molecule: ribosomal RNA, 803 nt
Filed under: uncultured bacterium
Lineage: Bacteria
Description: bacterial SSU rRNA
Rfam family: Bacterial small subunit ribosomal RNA
Source: RNAcentral
AGAGUUUGAUCCUGGCUCAGAACGAACGCUGGCGGCGUGGAUAAGACAUGCAAGUCGAACGCGACUUAUCUGGUUAGCAAUAACUAGGUAAGUUGAGUGGCGAAAGGGUGCGUAACACGUGGGAAAUUACCGAAAAGUGGGGGGAUAGCUCGGCGAAAGCCGAAUUAAUACCGCAUAUGAUCGCAAGAUCAAAGCCGGGGACCGCAAGGCCUGGCGCUUUUCGAGAUGCCCGCGGCCCAUCAGCUCGUUGGCGGGGUAACGGCCCACCAAGGCUAUGACGGGUAGCUGGUCUGAGAGGACGACCAGCCACACUGGAACUGAGACACGGUCCAGACACCUACGGGUGGCAGCAGUCGAGAAUUUUUCACAAUGGGGGAAACCCUGAUGGAGCGACGCCGCGUGGAGGAUGAAGGUUUUCGGAUUGUAAACUCCUGUCACUGCAGAACAAGGGUGUGCCGGUUAACAGCCGGCGCAUUUGAUGGUAUGCGGAGAGGAAGGGACGGCUAACUCUGUGCCAGCAGCCGCGGUAAGACAGAGGUCCCGAGCGUUGUUCGGAUUCAUUGGGCGUAAAGGGUGUGUAGGAGGUCGGGUAAGUCAGGUGUGAAAUCUCAGAGCUUAACUCUGAAACUGCGCUUGAUACUGCCCGGCUAGAGGAUCGGAGGGGGCAACGGAAUUUAUGGUGUAGCAGUGAAAUGCGUAGAUAUCAUAAGGAACACCGGUGGCGAAGGCGGUUGCCUGGAAGAUUCCUGACUCUGAAACACGAAAGCCAGGGGAGCAAACGGGAUUAGAUACCCCAGUAGUCC